UAAUACGGAGGGAGCAAACGUUGUUCGGAUUUACUGGGCGUAAAGGGAGUCUAGGCGGCUUGGUAAGUCAGGGGUGAAAUCCCGCGGCUCAACCGCGGAGUUGCCUUUGAUACUGCCGAGCUUGAGGCCGUGAGAGGAGACUGGAAUUCCCAGUGUAGCGGUGAAAUGCAUAGAUAUUGGGAAGAACACCAGUGGCGAAGGCGAGUCUCUGGCACGGAUCUGACGCUGAAGCUCGAAAGCUAGGGGAGCAAACGGGAUUAGAUACCCCGGUAGUCCUAGCCGUAAACGAUGGGCACUAAGUGUCGGGAGAUCGACCCUUUCGGCGCUGAAGCUAACGCGUUAAGUGCCCCGCCUGGGGAGUACGGCCGCAAGGUUG
This 376-nucleotide ribosomal RNA is filed under the name uncultured bacterium. Its description in RNAcentral is "bacterial SSU rRNA". It matches the Rfam family "Bacterial small subunit ribosomal RNA", at positions 521 to 896 of the family's 1533-position model. The record is from RNAcentral.